GUUGCUGAAGCUCAACAUUUGAUGGAAGGUCUUGACUGGCAAGGCGCUGUUAAGGAUAUCCGUGCUUCAGUUAAUUGGCUUAAGGCUAAUGGUUCACAGAAGGUAGGAGUUACUGGAUUUUGCAUGGGAGGUGCUCUUUCAAUUGCAAGUUCUGUUUUGGUCCCAGAGAUUGAUGCUGUUGUCGCAUUUUAUGGUGUUCCUUCAUC
This 206-nucleotide unclassified non-coding RNA is filed under the name Hevea brasiliensis (rubber tree). Lineage: Eukaryota; Viridiplantae; Streptophyta; Magnoliopsida; Malpighiales; Euphorbiaceae. The record is from RNAcentral.